Molecule: long non-coding RNA, 121 nt
Organism: Etheostoma cragini (Arkansas darter)
Lineage: Eukaryota; Metazoa; Chordata; Actinopteri; Perciformes; Percidae
Exons: 3
Source: RefSeq, a predicted model, not a curated record
CCACUACUCCCACAUACAGUUGCUAGUAACCAAGGAGGACCCGGAUGAUUAAAAAAAAACAUGAUGGAUUUUAUCAGAAGAGGUAAUCAUUUUCACAGGAAAAGUAGCUGAGUGACACAAU